GCCAGUGUGGUGUAGUGGUUUGAGCACUGGACUACAACUCUGGAGACCAAGGUUUGAAUUCUUGUUCAGCCA
RNAcentral lists this transfer RNA (72 nucleotides) under Phrynosoma platyrhinos (Desert horned lizard). Its description in RNAcentral is "tRNA-OTHER". Lineage: Eukaryota; Metazoa; Chordata; Lepidosauria; Squamata; Phrynosomatidae. The record is from RNAcentral.